CCCACAGCAGGGGAGUACUAACAAGCUAGGGUGAAGGUGCACUUCACUUACUGGAUGAAUACUAUUUGGCAGAUGAAAAACUGUGAACGCUUAUUUACUCAUUGUGUGUACAGUUGUUAAACUAUAUGGAACAGUAUAGAAGUUAACACUGGAGUUCUUUUAGAGACGGGAUAAACAAAGCCUGAGGGACAAAAUGUCAUUAAGUAGGAAAAAUUGGACUGCUCUCUCCAGUCUGGCAAGGCAGAGAUCAAUGGAGGAUGAUGAGGAAUUUGAGAAAGCUCGUCGGCGCCGGAACCGAAUAAGUAAUCCAUCGCCAGAUAAUGAGAUUGCCGAAGAACAACAUACAUUUGAAAACAGCGCUGUGUUUAAUGAACAAGAAGAGAUGUCAUCUCCACACUUGGAAGAUGAAGCUGCUGCAUUUGCUGAAAUGCUGAGAAGGAGAGAGGAGGACAAAAGACAGCAUCAACGUGAAACUUUACAGAGUCUGAAACUUGCAAAGUUUGCCUCUGAAACAGAAGCUGAGGAGGAAAGCAGAAGCAAGCAGGAGGACGAAAACCAGAAGCUAGAAAUGAGGGAAGUGCCCACUGAGACACAGAGGAAGAAAUCAGAUAAAGAUUCCAAUAAGAAAAUCAAUGCAAUCACAGUGAAGCAGGAGAAGGAGACCAGCAACAAUGUAGAGAGUACGCAGAAUCAUUCUGAUAAAGAAAACACUAGCAUUCAAACACCCCUUCAAUCACCUCUUAGUCCCAUACACACCACACGGGCUUUUAUAAGCUUAGGAAAGCCAAAAGAAGUAAAAAGCCCAACAAGGCUGAAAACACAGCUGAGUUCGGAGAACAACAAGUGCGACCAGGAAGAGGAAAACAGCACAAUGAUUGCAAAAGAUUAUUUCAAAUUUCAGGCAAGAGCAGAGCCCAACGUAAGUGAAAGAGGAGAGCAUGAGAAAACAGAACAGGAGACCUUUAAGAAAGAGAGCAGUGAAGCAGGGACACAUUGUGCGAAAAGAACAUCUGCUACAGCCACAGAGACACUGAACCAGAAAAAGGAAAAUGAUGCUGAUAGUCCCAGUUCAAAUGAUGUACCCUUCCACCGCUUCUCUCCAAGAGCUACAUCGUUCAGAGCUACAAAUCCAGAGGUGAAAAGCCAGCCAUUCCAAAGAAGUGCUAGUUUAAGGAUUCCAUCCAGAUCUCCUUCAACAAAGAUUGAUGGCAUACUUGAAAAGUAUGCAAAGGCAAUUCAGAGAAGUGAUAGUAUCAAGUCAAAGAAAUCCCCUUCUAACUAUCUGACCCGGCCAUUAGAAGGCAUUGCAAGCAAGCGAUGUGUGUUUGAGAAGGAUGAUGCUCAAGAUGCUGGAGUUCGACAUCUUAUAAACAAAAGGGAUAUCAGACCAGGGGAUGUAGCCAGCAAACGCAGCCUGUGGGAGAACAAAGCUGAUUCUGUAGAAAAGAUUCCUCAGCAGGUUUUCCAUUUUCUUUACAAACUCUUAAACCUGGCAUGUUUCUAAUGGACUUCCAAAACCCCACAUCACCAGAUGAAAAUGAAAGAGCAACAUUCAAAGAGUAACAUGUCAAAAUGAAAAAGGAGACAAUUCUACACCAAAGUGAUUUCAGAAUAUUGUAAUUAUUUUUCUUAACUCUUGAAGAUGGUUAAUAUUUUAUCCAAGCAUGAUCAAGCUAGCUCUCCAAUAGGAGUGAUUUUACGGUAAAAACAAUAACAUUCUAAUAAAGGGGAUUCAACUGCUUUAAUAACUGUGCAACAACAAAAUGCAGCUUUGUAGGUGAUUAAAAUUGAGUUUCAGUUUAAACAAAUAGGAGCAAGGGAAUAAAUCAGGUUCAAAACUUUGUAAAAUAAGAUGGUUUAAAAUUUACAAUUUUUUAUGUUUGAGAAUUUAAAACCAUAUUGACUGUAUUUCAAUUAUUUUCUCAAAAAAUAAAUUUUAAAAAAGGAUAACAGGUCUUCAAA
Carcharodon carcharias (great white shark) is the source of this 1962-nucleotide RNA transcript. It is a transcript of the gene named ladinin-1-like, with no coding region annotated. The transcript has 13 exons. Lineage: Eukaryota; Metazoa; Chordata; Chondrichthyes; Lamniformes; Lamnidae. The record is from RefSeq and is a predicted model, not a curated record.